RNAcentral lists this unclassified non-coding RNA (166 nucleotides) under uncultured Pleosporales. RNAcentral describes it as "sequence contains ITS1". Lineage: Eukaryota; Fungi; Ascomycota; Dothideomycetes; Pleosporales. The record is from RNAcentral.
CCGAGUACCGGGUCUUCAUGGCCCUACUCCCACCCUUUGUGUACUACCGAAUUUUCGUUGCCUUGGCGGGGUUGAUCCUGGGGCCUCACGGCCCUGGGGGACCCGCCAGGGGGACACCUCCAAACCCUUUGUAAUCGUGUCGUCUGAGAAAAAACACAAUAAGUUA